Molecule: non-coding RNA, 94 nt
Organism: Branchiostoma floridae (Florida lancelet)
Lineage: Eukaryota; Metazoa; Chordata; Leptocardii; Amphioxiformes; Branchiostomatidae
Source: Rfam
GUUCUUGUGUGUGGAUGGUGUUCAGCACUAGGGACAUGUCUGUGUGUUCUUGUGUGUGGAUGGUGUUCAGCACCAGGGACGGGUCUGUGUGUUC